Long non-coding RNA from Trachymyrmex septentrionalis, 1539 nucleotides. RefSeq lists it as uncharacterized. The record is from RefSeq and is a predicted model, not a curated record. The transcript is spliced from 4 exons. Lineage: Eukaryota; Metazoa; Arthropoda; Insecta; Hymenoptera; Formicidae.
AACGUUAUAACUUGCAAAAUUCGAUUAUCGAUAUUACGGCAAACAUUUCAGUCGCUAUCGUAUGAACUUUUUUUCUUAUAAAACUAUUGUUUCGUAUACUUCAAGAUCUUGGGAAAAAUUCAAGGUUCUUUUUAGAAUGUAAAUCUUCCAAAGCCAGAAGAAAUCAUAUUCCUCUUGCACUAUUUUUCAACGUUGAUACCAAUUUUAUUUGUAAUGUAAAAAAUAUUACAAAAAAAAAGUAAUCAUCAAAAAAAGGAGUGAAUACAAAGCUGCUCCAUAUUCCAAGCUGUGAAGGCAUCACGAUCUAUUGUUCACGAUGAAUCAACCAGGAAAAAGAAUAAAAUUGUGGGAGCAUUACCAUCAUUGAUGUUACAUUAAUGAGGAGACUCGUAUUAUUUAUCAAACACAUAACGAUCUUUUAAUGGAUUUCUGACAAAACAGAUUGCCAUUUGCCAAGCAUUCUUCAGACAUUAUCCGAAUCCUUAUGCGAUUCACGUUUUAUCGGAGAAUAUCCUGUAUCGAGAAGUCGGCGGCACAAAUCUCUUCAGCACAAGUAUUUUUUUGCGAAAGAGUUACCGCUUCGUUACCAAAACGGAUUCGGAAACUAACGAACGUAGUUUUUCCAAUAAUCUUUCGUGUGGAUAGAUGUUGACAGAACUAUUAGACUACGUUUCGCAUUUUCCGCACUUCUAACAUCAGAAUCCAAGAUAAUUGACGCAGAUAUUAGGAACCUUGCAACCAAAAAUAUGCAUAUUUUAAAAUUUGUAAGGUACAAGAUAUAACUUUCUUUGACUUCUUGAUCGAUUGGUGCUUUUAUCGUUGCCACAUCAAGCAUCCAUCUCAAGGCAGCAACAAAAAUACAUUUGAAGAUAAACUAUUUGGAAUAAAUUUAUGAGCGAAUUUAAGUACUAAUCCUCGUGAAAAACAUUGUCGAUCAAUUCGCGAUAGAUUAGUCUCGUUAAGAGGGAACCUCGAUCAUAGAAAAUUAGUAGUCAUCACAGAAACGACCGAAUAUAUACCCAAUCGCGGCGAUCCCGAUAAAACUCUGAUGACUCAUCGUGCCAACGUCCAAUCGCCUUUCAAUUGCGAUCUCACGGGUCGAAUAAUCAGGGGAGUCUGUUAUGCACGAACAAUCAAGAACAGUAUAGAUAAAGAAGGAAAAAAAAAGAAAAAAAACAUUGCAAAUUUUGCACUUGUCUUGAAAGCAGUCAAAACUAAUCGUCGAUAUAUAAAAGUUAUAAACGAGUGAAUUGUAAGACGAUUUUGCUGCGUAAAAAUUUCUUUAUGUGCUCGCGCAACAGAAUGAAAGGUUUUCAAGAAAGCCAAGAACCAUCGGUUGACUUCAUAAUGCAACUGUAUGUAAUUUAUGGGUUGCUAUACUUUCUCGUCCUUGUGUUCGACUAUUUUUUAUGGACGAGUAAAAAUAUUGGCUUCCCCCUUUUCAGAAUUUCGUCAAUAAAUUACGCGGCUACAUGAUAAACAGCUGCAAACUUUGAACUUCCUAUGUAUUUCUAUCGAAACAUAAUUUUACAAUAAUUA